ACAUCCAGAGAAUUUAGCAGAGAUGCUUUAGUGCCUUCGGGAACUCUGAGACAGGUGCUGCAUGGCUGUCGUCAGCUCGUGUUGUGAAAUGUUGGGUUAAGUCCCGNAACGAGCGCAACCCUUAUCCUUUGUUGCCAGCACGUAAUGGUGGGAACUCAAAGGAGACUGCCGGUGAUAAACCGGAGGAAGGUGGGGAUGACGUCAAGUCAUCAUGGCCCUUACGAGUAGGGCUACACACGUGCUACAAUGGCGCAUACAAAGAGAAGCGACCUCGCGAGAGCAAGCGGACCUCAUAAAGUGCGUCGUAGUCCCGGAUUGGAGUCUGCAACUCGACUCCAUGAAGUCGGAAUCGCUAGUAAUCGUAAAUCAGAAUGUUACGGUGAAUACGUUCCCGGGCCUUGUACACACCGCCCGUCACACCAUGGGAGUGGGUUGCAAAAGAAGUAGAUAGCUUAACCUUCGGGAGGGCGUUUACCACUUUGUGAUUCAUGACUGGGGUGAAGUCGUAACAAGGUAGGCGUAGUGCU
RNAcentral lists this ribosomal RNA (527 nucleotides) under uncultured bacterium. RNAcentral's name for it is "bacterial SSU rRNA". It matches the Rfam family "Bacterial small subunit ribosomal RNA", at positions 984 to 1509 of the family's 1533-position model. The record is from RNAcentral.